CAUGUAGGCGGAUUAAUAAGUUUGAAGUGAAAUCCUAUAGCUUAACUAUAGAACUGCUUUGAAAACUGUUAAUCUAGAAUGUGGGAGAGGUAGAUGGAAUUUCUGGUGUAGGGGUAAAAUCCGUAGAGAUCAGAAGGAAUACCGAUUGCGAAGGCGAUCUACUGGAACAUUAUUGACGCUGAGAUGCGAAAGCGUGGGGACAAACA
RNAcentral lists this ribosomal RNA (206 nucleotides) under uncultured bacterium. Its description in RNAcentral is "partial 16S ribosomal RNA". It matches the Rfam family "Bacterial small subunit ribosomal RNA", at positions 568 to 774 of the family's 1533-position model. The record is from RNAcentral.